UACGUAGGGAGCAAGCGUUGUUCGGAUUUACUGGGCGUAAAGGGCGCGUAGGCGGCGGGGUAAGUCGGGUGUGAAAUCUCAGAGCUCAACUCUGAAACUGCACUCGAUACUGCUCUGCUUGAGGACUGGAGAGGAGACUGGAAUUCACGGUGUAGCAGUGAAAUGCGUAGAUAUCGUGAGGAAGACCAGUGGCGAAGGCGGGUCUCUGGACAGUUCCUGACGCUGAGGCGCGAAGGCCAGGGGAGCAAACGGG
This 253-nucleotide ribosomal RNA is filed under the name uncultured bacterium. RNAcentral describes it as "partial 16S ribosomal RNA". It matches the Rfam family "Bacterial small subunit ribosomal RNA", at positions 524 to 776 of the family's 1533-position model. The record is from RNAcentral.